GGGCCCGUAGCUCAAUCAGGUCAGAGCAGCGGACUCAUAAUCCGUUGGUUGCAGGUUCGAGUCCUGCCGGGCCCACCA
RNAcentral lists this transfer RNA (78 nucleotides) under Acidimicrobiia bacterium. RNAcentral's name for it is "tRNA-Ile". It matches the Rfam family "tRNA". From Rfam's summary of the family: Transfer RNA (tRNA) molecules are approximately 80 nucleotides in length. Lineage: Bacteria; Bacillati; Actinomycetota; Acidimicrobiia. The record is from RNAcentral.